ACCAAGGAGCUUUCUGCCGGGAGACAGAGAGAGGAUUUAGCUGCUUUAUGCAGAGCGGAUCUGAAUACUUCAAGUCUAUUUUGUUACUGCAUGAGCAGAUCAGGAGUGUUCUGAUGCCAUAAACAACAACUGAAGUGAGCAACAGAGACAGACAACAACAGACAGACAGAGGAGGGGAGAGCAACAACAGAGACAGACAGAGGAGGGGAGAGCAACAACAGACAGACAGUGAAGGAGAGCAACAGAGACAGACAAUUAAGAAGAGCAACAACAGACAGACAGUGGAGGGGAGAGCAACAACAGACAGACAAUGAAGGAGAGCAACAGAGACAGAUAAUGAAGAAGAGCAACAACGGACAGACAGAGGAGGGGAGAGCAACAACAGACAGACAAUGAAGGAGAGCAACAACAGAGACAGACAAUGAAGGAGAGCAACAACAGACAGACAAUAAAGGAGAGCAACAACAGACAGACAGAGGAGGGGAGAGCAACAACAGAGACAGACAAUGAAGGAGAGCAACAGAGACAGGCAAUGGAAAAGAGAAACAACAGACAACUGAGGGUGUGUUCUGAGUGUUUGCCCUUAGCAGUUUACAAGAGACAGAAAAACAGGUUCUGAAUGUUCUGGGGGAUGCCUUUUGCAUUUUUCAAAGACAGAAAACCUGUUGGUACAGUUAAACGCAGCUAAUCUUUAUUCUCCGCUUUGACCUUUCCAAAAUGGCGGCGAGGAUGACGUAUGAUUCUACGCGGAAGGCGGCGUCUUCAAUGGUCCGGAAUAAAGUGAAUGAUACACGUUGAUGGAAUUAAUUUGUUGUUUCUCACAUGUGAAAGGUAAUCCCAUAUGAUCUCGUUUGGACGGUAAACCUGUUGGUACAGUUAAACGCAGCUAAUCCUUAUUCUCUGCUUUGACCUCUCCAAUAUGGCGGCGAGGAUGACGUAUGAUUCUACGCAGAAGGUGGCAUCUUUAAUGGUCCGGAAUAAAUUGGAUUAAUUUGCUCCUCUACGCCCUUUUUAAGGAAUGUAUUGUCGGACUUAAAUCAACAUCUGAAGAGUGCUCUGUAAGGCUUUUUCCUGGGGAUAUUCAUUACACUUCUACCCGGCGUGAAGCACUCACAGUCAUGUGGUUGUGACGUCAUCGUAAACAAAUCCGUUCUACUCAUCCAGACGACUUCACAACGGCAACGUUGCCAGAUCUUUCCACUCUGGAACCCGUUCUCAAAAAGAUUGCGUUUUGGGCACCCAAAACGCCGGUGCCGUGUGGACGCCAGGCCUAAACGAUAAGCAAUUGUAUCGGAGUCACCUGAAUCCGUUGCCGUGUGGACAGGGCCUUUGUUUCUAACCCUAACCAGACUUCACAAUGUCACAACCAAGGCAACCAAGAAGGAUCAGUUCUAACCCUAACCCCAAAUCCUGGAUCUAACCCCAACCUGAGCUCACCCCUAAUCCAACCCCUAGCCUUAGCCCCUAGCCCAAAACCUAGCCUCAAAUAAUAAUGGAAUAAUAACCCAAAUAUAACAUGGGGGUACUGACCAGGCACUUGUGGAGCAUUGAGGAUGGGGCUUGGGAAGGACAGUGCACAACACGGCCUUGGCCUAGGCCAGGACGUGGAUCUUUCCAGAAACCCUAACCCUAACCCAAGUAUGUGAUUGAGCAGGACAGUUCAGACACAGAGGCCACAUCAGAUGAGAAGGAAGACACAAUGCACAUCAACCCCCCUUGUAAUAAAAAAACAAAAAGUUGCAGAUGUGGGCAUAACACCUGGAUCCACAGAGAAGGCGAAAGAUGGCACUGUGUGGUUCCACCACAAAGUUGGAGAUUUUUCUGUUCAUGAAACUCCACAGACAGCAUUCAAUGGAUCUGGAGGGCCAACAGAGUUUGCAACACGCAAAAUCAUGAGUUGCCUUCAAAGCUUCCUGUAUUUGUUGGAUAUCAGCAUGUUGUUGGCCAUCAGAGACUGCACAGUCCAGGAGGGCCAUAGAACAAAUCCCAGCUGGCAGAUGAGUGUCUUCGAGCUGAUGGCGUUCCUCGCAAUCCUUUUUCGAAGGGCUGCCAAGGGCUACAUUGGUGCCAUGCGACUCAUGUGGGCCAAUAGAUUCGGCACCCCAGAUAUCAAAGCCAUAAUGCCCCUUAACCGCUUUCUUGAAAUAAAGCGGUACCUUCGCUUCGACAACAAGGACACCCGCAAGGAGCGCAUACAAACGGACAAAUUUGCAGCAAUUUCAGACAUCUGGCAGGAGUUUGUUCAGAAUUGUGUGUCGUCCUACAGUCCAGGGCAACAUGUUACCAUGCAUGAGCAGUUAUUUCCUUCAAAGGUUCGUUGUCCCUUUCUGCAGUACAUUGCAUCCAACCCUGACAAGUUUGGAAUCAAGUUUUGGAUUGCAGCAGAUCUGGACACAAAAUACAUGUGUAAUGCCAUCCCUUACUUGGGAAAAGAUCCCACUCGUCCAAUGGGAGAGAGGCUAUCAGAGAAUGUUGUUUUGAAAUUGAUGGAACCAUUUACCGUAUGGACCAGGGAAGGACUGUAACUAUGGAUAAUUUCUUCACCUCUCUGUCUUUGGCUAACAGGCUUCUUCAACGAAAAACAACUCUGCUUGGCACUAUCAACAAAAAUCGUCAGGAGCUACCAGCAACUGCAAAGGAAACCUCGGGGUGCCAGUUGUACUCCACACAGGUGUUCACAUCUGGAAGUGCCUUGCUGAUGGUGUUUGCAAAAAAUAAAAAAUAAAUCUGUUUGUCUUCUGAGCACCAUGUAUCAGAAAGUGGAAAUUGUGGACACCCAAAAACAAAAAACAAACACUGUUGUUGAUUACAACCAUUUCAAAUGCAGCAUUGAUAUCAUGGACCAGAAAUUACGCAACUACUUGGUGCGUGCAGGAACACGGAGAUGGCCCAUGGCUGUGUUUUACAACCUGCUUGACAUGGCUGUCACAAAUGCUCAUGUCUUGUACACAGCAUGUACAGGAUCCAAAGAAAGUCCCCAAUUGUUCAUGCUGGAGCUUGCAGAGGAACUUCAAAACAGGCUUUUGCAGGAAAAGGCACAAGGGGAAGAACACAAACAGCAGCGUGAGAUGAAAGUUUCUCAGAAGAAAAAGACAGUGCCAGGUGCACAUACUCUGCAAUAAUAACAGAAGCACUGAACUUUGUGUACGCUGCCACAAAUACACCUGUGGCAAAUGUACCAUAGGAAAGACUCACCAUAGGAAUGUGGAAACUACUAGAUGGGACAAUUGUAUGCUACAUUUCUGUGCUUUGUAUAGCCUCCAUGUGUAGUGAGCCUGCUUUUCUUAGUGUGAAAUAAAUGUUUAUUUUCUUCCUGAA
Long non-coding RNA from Neoarius graeffei (lesser salmon catfish), 3318 nucleotides. RefSeq lists it as uncharacterized. The record is from RefSeq and is a predicted model, not a curated record. The transcript has 5 exons. NCBI's taxonomy places the organism in Eukaryota, Metazoa, Chordata, Actinopteri, Siluriformes, Ariidae.